GAUGAACGCUAGCGGCAGGCCUAACACAUGCAAGUCGAGGGGUAACAGAGAAGCUUGCUUCUGCUGACGACCGGCGCACGGGUGCGUAACGCGUAUGCAACCUACCUCAUACUGGAGGAUAGCCCUUGGAAACGAGGAUUAAUACUCCAUAGUAUCACGAAUUCACCUGUUUUUGUGAUUAAAGUUUUUCGGUAUGAGAUGGGCAUGCGUCCCAUUAGCUUGUUGGUGAGGUAACGGCUCACCAAGGCAACGAUGGGUAGGGGGCCUGAGAGGGUGGUCCCCCACACUGGUACUGAGACACGGACCAGACUCCUACGGGAGGCAGCAGUGAGGAAUAUUGGGCAAUGGAGGAAACUCUGACCCAGCCAUGCCGCGUGAAGGAUGACGGCCCUAUGGGUUGUAAACUUCUUUUAUAUGGGAAGAAACUUGUCUACGUGUAGACAACUGACGGUACCAUACGAAUAAGGAUCGGCUAACUCCG
RNAcentral lists this ribosomal RNA (481 nucleotides) under uncultured Cryomorphaceae bacterium. RNAcentral describes it as "bacterial SSU rRNA". It matches the Rfam family "Bacterial small subunit ribosomal RNA", at positions 28 to 505 of the family's 1533-position model. The record is from RNAcentral. Lineage: Bacteria; Pseudomonadati; Bacteroidota; Flavobacteriia; Flavobacteriales; Cryomorphaceae.